Molecule: long non-coding RNA, 1038 nt
Organism: Acipenser ruthenus (sterlet)
Lineage: Eukaryota; Metazoa; Chordata; Actinopteri; Acipenseriformes; Acipenseridae
Exons: 3
Source: RefSeq, a predicted model, not a curated record
AGGCGGGGCACUAGCGCGAAAAGAGAGUGCGAGUCUGAGGUGAUCUUCGGAGAGGAGAGAAGAAAUAAAAAAAAAAUAGUGUAACGAAAUAGGUGUGAUUUCUAAUAUAGCCAACACGGUUAUAAAUUCUAAUUUAUUUUUAUAUUCCCCUGUACAUACGCUUGUUAAAUCCGCCUUGUUUUAGUGUAGAUACUAGAUAGUAUUAUUUUUUUGUUGUUGUCACGUCGUCUAGAAGACUCUCCUCUGUAUCUGUUAGCGCUCGGGGCGACCGGCAAGCUCUGAGUUUGGCCGAUACCAACCAAAGCAACCCGGUAACUUAGAGGGAGAAUAAAAAGGCUGCUGAGAGCCCUUUAUUCCAUCGCCAUCUCCUCUGGACCAACGAUACUCUGUUGGACUCAAGGAUAUAAAGCAACGUUGUUCAGCCUCAGAAAACAUUUUAAAUGGUCUAGUUUCAGAUUUCCAAAGGAGUAAAACAAAGAAGAAUGAAUUGAAGGGAGAAUUAGAGUCAGGGAAUAAUGCCAUCACCCAGCACAUCCGUUUCCUCAUUCUGUUCAAAGUUAACAGAAGACUCUAUUUGGAUGAAGCUUGCAAAUCCCUUGUCCCAUGUAUGGACAACUUUGAUUGUGUAACUCAUGGGCUGGGUUCCAAAAUAAUGGCUCUUUCAACCAAUGUACUCCUUGGAUAUGUUAAUCAUCUGGAAGAAGUACUAACAAAGUUAGUAAGGACAAUUGAUGUACCACAUUUCAUCACUACAGUUAUAGAUGUCACUUUGUUUUAUAUAUUUUCUUUUGAAUUUUCCACCUGAAGGCUUUACUAUUAUUAUUGUAUUUGUUCAUUGUACACAAACAUUUAUUUCCUUUUGUACUGAAUCAGUAUAUUUUUAUAUUUGUUUUUCUACUGAUCCAUAUAAUCCAUAUUUAUUUGACCAUAAUCUACUUAAACUCUGUCUCAUUUCUUUGUGGACUGCCUUUAUGAAAUUGUAAACCUUUAGACAUUACCUGUUGAGAUUUAAAACACACUUAAAAUGAAACAAUAUAU